This 30-nucleotide non-coding RNA is filed under the name Cricetulus griseus (Chinese hamster). The record is from RNAcentral. Lineage: Eukaryota; Metazoa; Chordata; Mammalia; Rodentia; Cricetidae.
AAAACUCCUCUAGAUAGUCAAGUUCUGAUC